This 253-nucleotide ribosomal RNA is filed under the name uncultured bacterium. RNAcentral's name for it is "partial 16S ribosomal RNA". It matches the Rfam family "Bacterial small subunit ribosomal RNA", at positions 524 to 776 of the family's 1533-position model. The record is from RNAcentral.
UACGUAGGGGGCAAGCGUUGUCCGGAAUUAUUGGGCGUAAAGAGCGUGUAGGCGGUCCGGUAAGUCGGCUGUGAAAGUCCAGGGCUCAACCCUGGGAUGCCGGUCGAUACUGCCGGACUAGAGUUCGGAAGAGGCGAGUGGAAUUCCCGGUGUAGCGGUGAAAUGCGCAGAUAUCAGGAGGAACACCAAUAGCGAAGGCAGCUCGCUGGGACGUUACUGACACUGAGGCGCGAAAGCGUGGGGAGCGAACAGG